AAACAACAACAAAAAAACAUGAAGUAAGGAAACCUGUCAUGCUCUGACUUUUAUUUAUUUCAUAUUUUGUUUGUAAGUUUUAAGUACCCCACAUCAAGACCUAACCCAUGUUGUGAUGGUGUCACUUUUCAGAGGGUGCACUGUGUUUCUGUCAUGAGUCAGAAUUCUAGUAUUGAUGAUGAAUGCUUUAGCAUCUGCUUGAUAUUCUAAUACUGAAUUUAAGGAUUAUAUUAAAUUAUUGGAA
Long non-coding RNA from Sapajus apella (tufted capuchin), 244 nucleotides. RefSeq lists it as uncharacterized. Lineage: Eukaryota; Metazoa; Chordata; Mammalia; Primates; Cebidae. The record is from RefSeq and is a predicted model, not a curated record. The transcript is spliced from 3 exons.